This is a long non-coding RNA of Corapipo altera (White-ruffed manakin), 2640 nucleotides long. RefSeq lists it as uncharacterized. NCBI's taxonomy places the organism in Eukaryota, Metazoa, Chordata, Aves, Passeriformes, Pipridae. The transcript is spliced from 9 exons. The record is from RefSeq and is a predicted model, not a curated record.
UAUCUUGAAUGUCUCCACUCCAUACAAGAUGCUCUGGAGGAACGUGGAAAACCCUUUGCAACUGCCAUCUAAACAUCAGGUUUCCCACGGAGGCUUGCCUGCAAAUGUAACAAGUUCUUUCUUUUUGCCUGCAUAAUUGGGUGACUGCCCAGAAAGAAAAAGAAUGAACUCUCCAGCUCCUGUCGGAUCUUCCUGAAAAUAGCUCAAACCCAUAUGGCAUUUGCCUCCUGCUGAUACUUCCACACCAGGAAUCCCUUCAGCAAAGCAACCAAGACUCAAAGAGAAAUACAUAAUAUGUUCUUUGCUCCUUAUGCUCGUAUACCUAAGCCCUGUUCUCUAAAUCAGAGGCCCAGAGAAAACUCUGGUGAAGAUCAGGAAAUCCUACCUACAGUUCAACCUGGAAGCUGAAGAAUUUCCUAUUCUGGCAAAAUGAAUUUUAGGAUGGUGCCCCCAGAAAAGAUUUACAAAGCUGCCUCUGUGAGAGAUGGUUGCUUCCAGAUCCCAAAGCCUCUGACUGAAUCAGUAACAGCAAUUGCUGAAUGUGAGACCUCUCAAUUUAAUUCCGGAGUCUGUAUCACCCAAGGAAAGACCCAGCACUACAGUCAACCCCAGGAUCAUGAAGCCCUGUGGAUUGUAAAUAUGCAAUUAGCAGCUGGAGUAGAAGUAAAAGCAGAAAAUGUCAACUGUCAAGUAGCUCCAUUGAAAGAUACAUGAUGCUUCAAGCUAAAACAGAAAGACAAAAGCACCUACCAACAAGGAUGAAGGAUCCCAGGGAGGGGUCAUUGCCAACUGAGCAUCUGAGUGAUGUCAAGGUCCCAGCUCUGCUUCUUGUCCACUGUGCCAGGGAUCAGCAGGCUGGGCAGUGGAUCCCUCCCUUCUUCAGAGCACCAUCUCCUCCAAUCCUGCUUCCUCAGUGCUACUCAGACAUUUGCACCAUGCCUUUCCUUCUGCCAGGAUACAGAAAAGCAGGGAAGAACAGUUUCUCCAAGACCACCAUGCUGUCCCAGGAAAUCCUUUUGCUACAGACUGAACUUCUUUCUCCAUGUUUCCUCACACAAAAUAUUCUACUACAUGCCCAUCAAAUUGGCAGUGGGCACAGAGAUAACACUGUUCUUCAGGGUACUGUAAUGAAAAAUAUGAUUCGUAUCUACAAAAUACAGCUCUCAGGGCCAGGGCAGAGUCAUGGGGGUAACACCACAUAUCUUUGUGCAACUUCAGAACCCAUGUCUGGGACUAAGGCAUCUACUGUACUAUGAAGUUCAACUAAUCUGAAAGUAAUGCUGAGAUCUGAAGCAGGCAUGAAUACUGAUGAAGGCUAAAAGGAUGCCAAAUUAAACCUCAACUCAUAUCCUCUUUGUUGUAAAAAAGAGUGGUGUACAAGCAAUACCAGUGAUGCUGCUGUGACAAAAUGUGCUGCAAGACUGUGCAUUUUCAGACUGACUUCAAAUAUUUGAUCUGUUCUUUUCUGGAUACAAGGCAACUUCAGCUUCUGCAGAAAGCUCCUCCACUCAGUUUUAGGCACUACCUGAACUCAGCUGUCAGCUCCCUAUAUGGACAAUGAUAAAAAUAACAUGCCCAAGAUAUGAUUUAGAUUUUAGGUGGGCAAAUCAUUCUCUACAUGAGCUUCUCUCAUUUCAUUGAAUACUGAAGAAACCUGGGAGAAGUAUUCUCUCAGUUUAGUUGCCUUGAGUAGAUUGGAUCAAUUCAGGACUAUGGGAAAAAUUUAAAUGCUCAUUUGAGUGCUAAGAAGCAAAUUAUCCACUAUAUAAGCGCCACUGAAUGCAUGGCAAUAAUACAGGAUAGCAAGGUACUUGAGCAACAGAAUGUUGUUGUCACAUUUAGUUUAAGCAUCAUAAUAUUUGUAUAUAUUUCUUUAUUUUUAUACAGUUAGAAGUAUAAAUCACCGUCUUGUAGAGAAAUAACAAGUCACGGGUAACCAGUAAAGGUCUGUGCCCUAAACUACAAAGAUACUGUAUUAGAUGAUGGUAAAGGUGAUUGAAUUUGAAAUGUAAAGCAAAUAGUGAGAAUGUGGCUGUAUACAUCAUCUGUUUUAUGUCCUCUCACAUCAAGUGUUUCUUGGUGUUAGACAUGUCAGCUACUAAUUGAUCUUUUUUGUUCUUCUAAAGAUGGAGUUUCAGACUAAGUUAGUAUUAUUCAGCUAAAGCUUUUUCUGAUGUCAGGACUAAAUAGAAUUGCAACUCCAGCUGUCAACUUCUAGCAGCCAAUAACAACCCUAUUUACUUGGAAUUUUUACCAAUUUUAAUUAGCUAUUUUAUAUACUAGUAUGUGCAAGCACUACACUUAACUAGUGCCAUGUCUGUAUAUGUGUUCUUUACCUUAAAGACUGGUGCAGUCGUAUGUUUUCACAGUAGAAGAUAGAAAAGAAAGUUAUUUGUGUAUUCCCCCGUCCACUUUUCUAAUAUAUCAAAACUUGUUUGUUUGGUUGUUUUUUACCAGACAUACAUCCACUCAGGAAGGUAGCUAAUUAAGUCCGGAAAAGCUUUUGGCAAAUUUACCUGCAAUGUUAAUAAACUAUUUUUACUUUAUGUGUGCAUCUAUAUGAAUAUACAUAUGUACUCACACAUAUGGCUGAACAUAUGCUUAGGACAAUUAAAAGACAAUACCAAGCAAAACCAAAAA